Molecule: ribosomal RNA, 470 nt
Filed under: uncultured SAR324 cluster bacterium
Lineage: Bacteria; Deltaproteobacteria
Description: bacterial SSU rRNA
Rfam family: Bacterial small subunit ribosomal RNA
Source: RNAcentral
UUCGGAAGUGAUUAAAGUGGCGCACGGGUGAGUAACGCGUAGAUAAUCUGCCCUUCAGUCCGGGACAACUUUCCGAAAGGGGAGCUAAUACCGGAUAACAAUGUUUAACAUAAGUUUAAUAUUUGAAAGCUCCGGUGCUGAUGGAUGAGUCUGCGUCCCAUUAGCUUGUUGGUGCGGUAGUGGCGCACCAAGGCUGCGAUGGGUAGCGGGUUUGAGAGGACGAUCCGCCACACUGGAACUGAGACACGGUCCAGACUCCUACGGGAGGCAGCAGUGGGGAAUAUUGCACAAUGGAGGAAACUCUGAUGCAGCAAUGCCGCGUGAGUGAAGAAGGCCCUUGGGUCGUAAAGCUCUUUUAUGGGGGAAGAUGAUGACGGUACCCCAAGAAUAAGCACCGGCUAACUACGUGCCAGCAGCCGCGGUAAUACGUAGGGUGCGAGCGUUGUUCGGGAUUACUGGGCGUAAAGGGC